UCCGUAGGUGAACCUGCGGAAGGAUCAUUAUCGUAUCAUAGAGACGCGAGGGCUGUCGCUGACCUUUUUCAAAGGUCGUGCACGUCCGAGUGUUCUCAUCUACAAUCCACCUCACCCCUUGUGCAUCACCGCGCGGGAGCCCCCCUCUCUCUCGGCUUGUUUGCUCGCUUCUGAGGGAGGCUCAGCGUUUUUCACACAAACACCUCUUUUAGUUUAGAAUGUCAUUCAUUUGCGAUCACACGCAAUCAAUACAACUUUCAACAACGGAUCUCUUGGCUCUCGCAUCGAUGAAGAACGCAGCGAAAUGCGAUACGUAAUGUGAAUUGCAGAAUUCAGUGAAUCAUCGAAUCUUUGAACGCACCUUGCGCCCCUUGGCAUUCCGAGGGGCACACCCGUUUGAGUGUCGUGAAAUUCUCAAACCUUCUUGGUUUAUCAACUAAGAUGGCUUUGGACUUUGGAGGCAUUUUGCUGGCUCUGUGAAAAGUCGGCUCCUCUUAAAUGCAUUAGUGGGAUCCCCUUUGCCGAUCCCCAGGCGUGAUAAGAUGUUUCUACGUCUUGGGAUUUGCUCUGUUCCUUGGGAAACCUGCUUCCAACCGUCUCACGGGGAGACGUUGUCCGAGUUUGGCUCGGCCCCAUGAACCUUGACCUCAAAUCGGGUGAGACUACCCGCUGAACUUAAGCAUAUCAAUAAGCGGAGGA
RNAcentral lists this small RNA (699 nucleotides) under Russula nigricans. RNAcentral's name for it is "eukaryotic LSU rRNA". The stretch from base 253 to 406 matches the Rfam family "5.8S ribosomal RNA". Lineage: Eukaryota; Fungi; Basidiomycota; Agaricomycetes; Russulales; Russulaceae. The record is from RNAcentral.